GAAUUUUGGGCAAUGGGGGAAACCCUGACGCAGCCAUGCCGCGUGUGUGAAGAAGGCCUUAGGGUUGUAAAGCACUUUCAGUCGGGAGGAAAGGUUAUUGGUUAAUACCCAAUAGCUGUGACGUUACCGACAGAAGAAGCACCGGCUAACUCUGUGCCAGCAGUCGCGGUAAUACAGAGGGUGCAAGCGUUAAUCGGAAUGACUGGGCGUAAAGCGAGAGUAGGUGGUUUGUGAAGUUGAAUGUGAAAGCCCUGGGCUCAACCUGGGAACGGCAUCCAAAACUGGCAGGCUAGAGUAUAGUAGAGGGGGGUAGAAUUUCCGGUGUAGCGGUGAAAUGCGUAGAGAUCGGAAGGAAUACCAGUGGCGAAGGCGGCCCCCUGGACUGAUACUGACACUGAAGUGCGAAAGCGUGGGUAGCAAACAGG
RNAcentral lists this ribosomal RNA (425 nucleotides) under uncultured bacterium. Its description in RNAcentral is "bacterial SSU rRNA". It matches the Rfam family "Bacterial small subunit ribosomal RNA", at positions 359 to 776 of the family's 1533-position model. The record is from RNAcentral.